This 1545-nucleotide long non-coding RNA is filed under the name Homo sapiens (human). RNAcentral describes it as "non-protein coding lnc-DLL1-7:2". The record is from RNAcentral. Lineage: Eukaryota; Metazoa; Chordata; Mammalia; Primates; Hominidae.
AAGUAUGCUGUUUCAAUUUGAUCUGCUAUUUCGGGUGAUCUAGUCCCUGUUAGUUCUUGACAGUCCAGGAGGCGCCUGGUGCAUCCCACGGACUCAUUUAAAUGUUCCCUGAGUGCUUCGUCUGUGCCGCACGUUGCUCUGCGUGGUGGAGAUAAAUGAGGAGUAGAAGCUGCGCCUGGCCUGAAGGCACCCCAGGUCACUCUUGGGGAAACACAGUGCCCAUCGCUGAUGCUCACCAAGGUUCCGGUCCUGCGGACAAGCCCCUGCCAUGCACCUGAUCGUGGAUCUGGCCUCUGUGACCGGCUCUGGAAGUUCCCAUGAAUGGACUCUUCCUCGCCUUCUUGCCCUGCCUCUGUGUCUCGUGUCCUUAUAAGAACACCAGUCACUGGAUUCCAGGCUGACCCUCAUCCAGCUCAACCUCAUCUCCACUCUCAACUAUCUGCAGAGACCUGUUUCCACACAAGCUCACAUCACGAGGCUCUGGGGGGACGUGGAUUUUGGAGGAACACCUCUCAGCCCACUACAGAGCCUUUUACUACCAUCAAUCAAAUGAAUUUUUCAAAGGCACGUCUGUUAUACAUUUUUUUUUCAGUGAGCUUUUUCUGAGAACUUUUUGGGUUCAAAGCACCCAGAUGGUAUAAAUGACGUGGAAAAUGGCCCUCCCAAAAAGAUGCCAUGAGGGAGCUGCACAUGGGGCUGGGGGGAGUCGGAGACAGCACGUGUGAGCGGACGUGUGGCCGGCACCCAAACCAGACGCCAUGUGAUUACAGAUCCUGCAGGGAAUUACAGGAGGCAACUCAACGUAGGAGAUUGGUGUCAUACUAACAGAAAACCAAGACUGAAGAGACAGGAACGACUGUCCGGGUUUCCCAGACAGGACCGUCCCAGGAAGCAGACAACACAGGCCUGCGUGCGGCCCUGGCCUUGAGUGUGCUGGACGCAGGGGACCGUCCCAGGAAGCGGACAACACAGCCCUGCGUGCGGCCCUGGCCGUGAGUGUGCUGGACGCAGGGGACCGUCCCAGGAAGCGGACAACACAGCCCUGCGUGCGGCCCUGGCCGUGAGUGUGCUGGACGCAGGGGACCGUCCCAGGAAGCGGACAACACAGGCCUGCGUGCGGCCCUGGCCGUGAGUGUGCUGGACGCAGGGGACCGUCCCAGGAAGCGGACAACACAGGCCUGCGUGCGGCCCUGGCCGUGAGUGUGCUGGACGCAGGGGACCGUCCCAGGAAGCGGACAACACAGGCCUGCGUGCGGCCCUGGCCGUGAGUGUGCUGGACGCAGGGGACCGUCCCAGGAAGCGGACAACACAGGCCUGCGUGCGGCCCUGGCCGUGAGUGUGCUGGACGCAGGGGACCGUCCCAGGAAGCGGACAACACAGGCCUGCGUGCGGCCCUGGCCGUGAGUGUGCUGGACGCAGGGUACCGUCCCAGGAAGCGGACAACACAGCCCUGCGUGCGGCCCUGCCGUGAGUCUCCACCUUUCUGUCUCUCUGGGCUGUGGCUGGGCAGCACGGAAGGGGGGAAUCACCUACCUUUUGGUCCAG